UGAAUGUAUAACCUGCUGGAAGAAAGAAAAAAAGGGGAGAAAAAGGAAAGAAAGGGAAAGGAAUCUGAGAGAGAGAAACAAAGAGAGAGUCUAGAGAGAACCCACUUCAUUUUGUUGCUUGUUGCUGGAAAAGAAGGAAUUUCAGCCCAAGAAGAAAAAAAAAGAAACUAAGGAAAGAAAAGCUAGGAAAGAAGAGAAGUUGAAAGAGGAGGUUCAGAUUUGAAGGAGAAUAAGAAUUAGAAAACUUAAGGUGAACAGGCACGUGACCAGGCUUAGAGGCAUCUGCUUGGAAUCAAUUUUUGUCAGCCAACCUAUGUGCCUCUCGUGGAGGUUCCGGAUAUUUCAAGUGACUAUGGCUAUGUGAUACAAAGUUUAGGUUUUGUUUUCUUGAUUGGUUAGACAAGUCUUGUGUAUUUUGUAAAUAGGGCUAAGUCCCUUUUUGUCUAAUCCGUGUAUAUAUAAUGACGUAAGGAUGAUGUGUAUAUAUGUAUAUAAAGUUUUAAAUUUUUUCUAUCUCA
Molecule: long non-coding RNA, 518 nt
Organism: Camellia sinensis
Lineage: Eukaryota; Viridiplantae; Streptophyta; Magnoliopsida; Ericales; Theaceae
Source: RefSeq, a predicted model, not a curated record